UACGUAGGGUGCGAGCGUUAAUCGGAAUUACUGGGCGUAAAGCGUGCGCAGGCGGUAAUGUAAGACAGAUGUGAAAUCCCCGGGCUUAACCUGGGACCUGCAUUUGUGACUGCAUUGCUGGAGUGCGGCAGAGGGGGAUGGAAUUCCGCGUGUAGCAGUGAAAUGCGUAGAUAUGCGGAGGAACACCGAUGGCGAAGGCAAUCCCCUGGGCCUGCACUGACGCUCAUGCACGAAAGCGUGGGGGCAAACAGG
This 252-nucleotide ribosomal RNA is filed under the name uncultured bacterium. RNAcentral's name for it is "partial 16S ribosomal RNA". It matches the Rfam family "Bacterial small subunit ribosomal RNA", at positions 524 to 776 of the family's 1533-position model. The record is from RNAcentral.